AUGCUUUGGUUUCUCUUCAGAUUGUAUAAAUCUUUCACCUUUUACUAAAGAUUUCUAUGGAAAGGAAUAUUUAUGAGUUUUUACCCAAUUUUUUGAGGCUUCAAUUCAAUGAAGCU
Chelonia mydas (Green sea turtle) is the source of this 116-nucleotide non-coding RNA. The record is from Rfam. Lineage: Eukaryota; Metazoa; Chordata; Testudines; Cheloniidae.